This 443-nucleotide ribosomal RNA is filed under the name uncultured bacterium. RNAcentral's name for it is "partial 16S ribosomal RNA". It matches the Rfam family "Bacterial small subunit ribosomal RNA", at positions 338 to 795 of the family's 1533-position model. The record is from RNAcentral.
CCUACGGGUGACAGCAGUGGGGGAUAUUGGACAAUGGGGGAAACCCUGAUCCAGCGACGCCGCGUGAGUGAAGAAGUAUUUCGGUAUGUAAAACUCUAUCAGCAGGGAAGAAAGAAAUGACGGUACCUGAGUAAGAAGCCCCGGCUAACUACGUGCCAGCAGCCGCGGUAAUACGUAGGGGGCAAGCGUUAUCCGGAAUUACUGGUUGUAAAGGGAGCGUAGACGGUAAGGCAAGUCUGGCGUGAAAGGCGGGGACCCACCCCCCGGACUGCUCUGGAAACUGUGUGACUGGAGGGCAGGAGAGGCAGGCGGAAUUCCUAGUGUAGCGGUGAAAUGCGUAGAUAUUAGGAGGAACACCAGUGGCGAAGGCGGCCUGCUGGACUGUAACUGACGUUGAGGCUCGAAAGCGUGGGGAGCAAACAGGAUUAGAUACCCUGGUAGUC